UAAAGAAACAAACUUUUACCCUCCCCUGUUGCCACCCUUUUAUACUUCACUAACUCAUGCCACUGCAGUAUUCAUUCUCCUUCUUCACUAUAUUAUUUCUCAUCUUUUUUUUAUCAAGCUGUUGAUUAUCCUGUAGGCUAAUCUGCAUACAUUUCACAAUUUGUCAUUAAAGAAAGAAAAUUGCAAUGAUCUUUUGUACUUUUGUUUCAGGCUUGGAAAUGCAUAAGGAAGUUGAGGAUGACUAUGCUUACCUUUCUAACUUACUUCAAGAGUUCACCAGUAUUCCCAACAUUGACAAGGU
This 301-nucleotide long non-coding RNA is filed under the name Phaseolus vulgaris (common bean). Its description in RNAcentral is "long non-coding RNA (PVUL_LNC002488)". The record is from RNAcentral. Lineage: Eukaryota; Viridiplantae; Streptophyta; Magnoliopsida; Fabales; Fabaceae.